UACAGAGGGUGCAAGCGUUAAUCGGAAUUACUGGGCGUAAAGCGUGCGUAGACGGUUAUGUAGGUCAGAUGUGAAAGCCCCGGGCUUAACCUGGGAAUGGCAUUUGAGACUGCAUAGCUAGGGUGCGGAAGAGGGAAGCGGAAUUUCCGGUGUAGCGGUGAAAUGCGUAGAUAUCGGAAGGAACACCAGUGGCGAAAGCGGCUUCCUGGUCCAGCACCGACGUUCAGGCACGAAAGCGUGGGGAGCAAACAGG
Molecule: ribosomal RNA, 253 nt
Filed under: uncultured bacterium
Lineage: Bacteria
Description: partial 16S ribosomal RNA
Rfam family: Bacterial small subunit ribosomal RNA
Source: RNAcentral